Molecule: long non-coding RNA, 3684 nt
Filed under: Mus musculus (house mouse)
Lineage: Eukaryota; Metazoa; Chordata; Mammalia; Rodentia; Muridae
Description: long non-coding RNA chr6:149415644-149419328
Source: RNAcentral
AGUUCCAACAAUGGAGGAGUGUUCCUCUUUCUCCACAUUCUCGCCAGCAUCUGCUGUCACCUGAGUUUUUGAUCUUAGCCAUUCUGACUGGUGUAAGAUGGAAUCUCAGGGUUGUUUUGAUUUGCAUUUCCCUGUUGAACAUUUCUUUAGGUGCUUCUUGGCCAUUCGAUAUUCUUCAGUUGAGAAUUCUUUAGCUCUGUACUCCAUUUUUAAAAUAGAGUUAUUUGGUUCUCUGGAGUCUAACUUCUUGAGUUCUUUGUAUAUAUUGGGUAUUAACCCUCUAUCGGAUAUAGAAUUGGUAAAGAUCUUUCCCCAAUCUGUUGGUUGCCAUUUUUUCCUAUUAACAGUGUCCUUUGCCUUACAGAAGCUUUAGUUUAUUGUUUUUAAACGUUACAUAAAUUCUUAAUGUUGGAGGAAUAUUAGAAAUUAACUUUUUUAUUUUUUAUUAUUUGUGUGUGUUUGAGUGUUUUGCCUGGAUGAAUCCAUAUCAUGUGUAUACCUGGUGCCUGUGGAAGUUUGAAGUGGAAAAUAGUAUCAGAUUUCUUGUAACUGGGGUCAUAAAUAGCACCAUGUGGGUGCUGAGAAUUGAACUGAAAUCCUCUGCAAGAGCGACAAGUGCUGUCAGCAACUAAGUCAUGUCUCUAGCCCUGAAAUUAUCUGGUUAAGUGAUCUGGUGAUCAGAAUUAUAAGAAGGUAAUUUUUGUUAAUAUUUUAAAAUAAUUUAGAACUACAAAUCUUUCUUAAGUGAAUCCUCAGGCAUUCUAUAUUAACCACUGUAGUUAUUUCUAAUCUAGUUUUAUAUUCAAGAAGGUUUUUCAUUGCAGCAAAAGGAAAUGGUUUAUCUUUGCAAUAAGAUAUGCAACUUAUAAAAGAAAAUAUUUGGGUCUGGAGAUGGCUCAGGGGUUAAGAGCACUGACUGCUCUUCUGAAGGUCCUGAGUUCAAAUCCCAGCAACCACAUGGUGGCUCACAACCAUCUGUAAUGAGAUCUGACGCCCUCUUCUGGCGUGUCUGAAGACAGCUACAGUGUACUUAUUUAUAAUAAUACAAAAAUCUUUAAAAAAAGAAAACAUUUGAUUGGAGACUUGUUUAUAGUUUCAGAAUGUUAAUCUAUGAUCAUCUCCAUGGAGAGCAUGGUGGUUGGCAAGUAGGCCUGGCACUUGAGUAGUAACUAAGAGCUUACAUUCUGAUCCAGUGGUAGUAGAGAUAGAUGAUAGAUAGAUAGAUAGAUAGAUAGAUAGAUAGAUAGAUAGAUAGAUAGGUGAUAGUUAGAUCCUGAGCCUGGCUUGGCCUUUUGAAACCUCAGGUCCCCUUCCCUGCCACUGACACACCUUCUUCAACAAGGCCACACCUUCUAAUCCUUCCCAAACAGUUCCACUAAUUGGGGAUGACAUAAUCAAACAUAUGAGCUUAUGGGGUCAUUCUCAUUCAAAUGAAAACACCGCAGGCUUCAAAACUAACAAUUACAUUUUUAGAGAAUUGUCAUGGUAAAGUAUUUCAGAAAAAUAUAAUGAAAGCAAGAGAAAUAUAGACAGAUAAUAUUUUAGUUAUCAUCGACCACUUCCAAAUUUAAAAAAAAUGUGAUGCUAAUAUGAUUUAGAAAUUUGAAAAUGGCUAUAAAAGAAGUGCUGUAAAUAAAUAGAUUUUCACAUAAAAAUAAAUGAUUGUUCAUUUCUGCAAUAACAUUAAUGUAUUUAAUAUUUCUACUGUGUGAGAGUUAGAGAUCUGUGUGUUGAAGAUACAGCAAUGAACAAGGAGAAAGCUCCAUGUUCAUGAAGUUUGUAUUCUGUGUGGAAUAAAGAAAAUAGUAAAAAUGAACAAGAAAACUAGAUACGAUAUUAAAUGGUCCUUAAUGUUGUAGAGACAAUAACAAAACAAAAGGAUGGCAUGUAUGUCUGGGGCACCUGCUGCUUGUUAACAUCUGUGCUGUUGUAGUGAGCAGUAGAUUGAAAAAAAAAAGGAGUGAGAGGUGAGAGAUGGGACUGGAGAGAUGAUUUUAGCCAGAUGGUAAAGGUCGUUUCAGUCAGCCUUUGCUAGCAAAUGCCUCAUCAUAGCUGGUUAUAAGGACAUUGGGCUACAGGAAGGAUCUCCCCCUAACAAAGAGUCUGGAAAUAGCUGUCAGUCUAUUUCCUAAUAAGUGUCCUUGAACAUCUGGGGCUCUUGUAAAUUAGAAAGUGGCUAUGCCUCACUCUUGUGAUGGUGUAUUAGGAAAUUUGGAAUUUUGCAUUUUUCUCUGUGCUACACAAAUGUGAACAUUUUGUAAUAUAAAACUAACUUCUGUGGCUGUGGGUAUAGCUUAGUACAAGUGUUUGCCUAACAUAUGCUAGACCCUAGGUUCUAUUCUCAGUAUAGCAAGAACCAAACUAAAUGAAAACAAAGAAGUCAAAGCAACUCCAUUGCAAAAAUGUAGCUUGACAGAGGAAAAAGCAACUAGAGAUGUUGGUUACUUUAAGAUUAAAGAAAUCUUAAUCUUAAAUAAGAAAAAGUAUUCUAGAUAUUUAUUCAUUACACAUAUUAUGACUAACCAUUAUAUUGUAGAGACUGUUAGGUGCUGCAGGUUAUUUAUUUAGACAUUAUUUCUUGUCUUUGGAGAAUUUAAUUAACAUUUAUUUGUUUAUUAUUUUAUGUGUAUGAAUAUUUUGUCUGCAUAUAUGUCUGUGUACCACAGGCAUGUCUGAUGCCUGCAGAAGCCAGAGGAGGACAUUCUCUGGAACUGGAGUUUUAGAUGCUCAUGAGCUGCCUUGUGGAUGUUGAGAAUUGAAUCUUGGUUCUAUGGAAGAACAGCCCGUGCUCUUACCUGCUGAACAGUUUUUCCAGCCCCCUCGGAGAGUUUAUUUUUGACAGAGGAAGAAAAGUAACAGAAGAGUAGGCAAUAAAUAAUUUUGUAUAGGGAUAUGUGCUUAAAAACAAAGCAAGGUUAUGGAAUAAUAAACCUAUCAGGAGCUAGUGGGAGAGGUAAUAUUAGAAAUGAGAGUCAGGGAAAGCCUUUUUGAGAGAUUGAUAUUUAAGCUAAGUCCCAGGUGAUGAGAAUUAACAAACCAGGAAGGGAUUGUCCUGGCCUGAAAGCACCAGCAAUGUAGAAAUCAUUUGUUGGGAACAAGCUUUGUGUUUGUGAAAACUGCAUAGCUUUAUUGGCAUUUGAUAUGCAAUGACCCUGUGUAGUAUAGAACUCUGCUGUGCAUUUUGGUUCUCUGUGGAAUGAUUAGGAUCCUGGCCCUGCCUACUAACAACCAGUGGCGGCACUUUUCCCAAGUCAAUGUAAUAAUAAAACACUGUCACAUAUUCUAAACAUACUUUUUCUGUUCUUCCAUGAGGCAGUACUGCCAUUCAUUGAGGACCUCAGAAGACUUCAGUCAUGACUGGAGUGGAAGGGGUGGAUACGGGAGGAAAUGAUAGUGAAUUAGACUGGAACUGAGCCCUGAGAUGUGUCUCCUAGGUGACUACAAAUCCAGUCAAGUUGACAUGAAUAUUGAGUAUCAUAGCAGGCUCUGUGGCCUUUUGGGAACCCAAGGUAACUGUAAUAUUCCACUAAUCUGUGAUUGCUGAAUUUUAUGUCUUUUUUGUCCUGUUCAACUUUGAAUUAUUAAAUACUAGAAUAACAUUCUGAUUAAUAAGAGGAGGAGAGAAAAGAGAGAUGUCGGGACCUUUGGGAUAGCAUUGAAAAUGUAAACGAGGAAAAUACCUAA